AGUAACACGUGAGCAACCUGCCUUUCAGAGGGGGAUAACGUUUGGAAACGAACGCUAAUACCGCAUAACGUAUACGGAUGGCAUCAACUGUAUACCAAAGGAGCAAUCCGCUGAAAGAUGGGCUCGCGUCCGAUUAGCUAGAUGGUGAGGUAACGGCCCACCAUGGCGACGAUCGGUAGCCGGACUGAGAGGUUGACCGGCCACAUUGGGACUGAGACACGGCCCAG
Molecule: ribosomal RNA, 227 nt
Filed under: uncultured Bacillota bacterium
Lineage: Bacteria; Bacillati; Bacillota
Description: uncultured Firmicutes bacterium partial 16S ribosomal RNA
Rfam family: Bacterial small subunit ribosomal RNA
Source: RNAcentral